Molecule: ribosomal RNA, 627 nt
Filed under: Triticum aestivum (bread wheat)
Lineage: Eukaryota; Viridiplantae; Streptophyta; Magnoliopsida; Poales; Poaceae
Description: partial small subunit ribosomal RNA
Source: RNAcentral
AUGAAGGGGCGGUUGGGAGCUCAGAAAGGUUCUACGGCUGCUUGUGCAGAGAGCCCCUCUACACCCAAGAAUCCCAUUGUGGAAUUGAUAGACAGCGAUGAUGGUGCAUUUGACAAGAUCGCUGGCAUGGGAAGAGUCACCAGGAGCGCUGCUGCCAAGGGUUUAUCCCCACUUGCUGGAAUAGUGGCCCGUGGAGUUGGUGCUGCUAGGAAGGAUCCUGCUUUGGAUUCUGGCAAUGUUACAAGCACGAAGCGUGAGCCCAGAGCUCCUAUAAAUUUUUGCUCCCCUGUGCAGCAGCUUCACCCUCAUAAAUUCCCACACCUGGACAAGGCUCGCAAGUUGUAUAAUCUGCUGCUUAGUGAUGAAUGGCGUGAGAAGUAUGCCGAGAAUGCAUUCUCAAUGAUACCUCAGCCUGAUGAUAGUGUAACUAGCUUCACUGGGAAAUGCAUCUGGGAAGUUUUUGCACCUGGGCAAAUGAUGGAGGGUGAUCUAAUGGACUUCCUCAUUGCUGAUUGGAAGAAAGAUCCCGAUAGAAAUGCUGAUUUUGCGUCUGGAAAAAGGGUAUUGCUGAGUCCAUAUUUCAUCAUGGUUGUGCUUGACUGUACGUUUUACGGUGAUGAAAAUUAA